This 497-nucleotide ribosomal RNA is filed under the name uncultured bacterium. RNAcentral's name for it is "partial 16S ribosomal RNA". It matches the Rfam family "Bacterial small subunit ribosomal RNA", at positions 28 to 507 of the family's 1533-position model. The record is from RNAcentral.
GAUGAACGCUGGCGGCGUGCCUAAUACAUGCAAGUCGAGCGAACAGACGAGGAGCUUGCUCCUCUGACGUUAGCGGCGGACGGGUGAGUAACACGUGGAUAACCUACCUAUAAGACUGGGAUAACUUCGGGAAACCGGAGCUAAUACCGGAUAAUAUAUUGAACCGCAUGGUUCAAUAGUGAAAGACGGUUUUGCUGUCACUUAUAGAUGGAUCCGCGCCGCAUUAGCUAGUUGGUAGGGUAACGGCUUACCAAGGCGACGAUGCGUAGCCGACCUGAGAGGGUGAUCGACCACACUGGAACUGAGACACGGUCCAGACUCCUACGGGAGGCAGCAGUAGGGAAUCUUCCGCAAUGGGCGAAAGCCUGACGGAGCAACGCCGCGUGAGUGAUGAAGGUCUUCGGAUCGUAAAACUCUGUUAUUAGGGAAGAACAAAUGUGUAAGUAACUAUGCACGUCUUGACGGUACCUAAUCAGAAAGCCACGGCUAACUACGUG